GGAAUAUUGGACAAUGGCCGGGAGGCUGAUCCAGCCAUGCCGCGUGCGGGAGGACGGCCCUAUGGGUUGUAAACCGCUUUUGUCAGGGAGCAAUAAGGUCCACGUGUGGUCCGAUGAGAGUACCUGGCGAAUAAGCAUCGGCUAACUCCGUGCCAGCAGCCGCGGUAAUACGGAAGGUCCGGGCGUUAUCCGGAUUUAUUGGGUUUAAAGGGAGCGCAGGCUGAUUGUUAAGCGUGACGUGAAAUGUAGCCGCUCAACGGCUGCACUGCGUCGCGAACUGGCAGUCUUGAGUGAGUACGACGUCAGCGGAAUUCGUGGUGUAGCGGUGAAAUGCUUAGAUAUCACGAAGAACCCCGAUUGCGAAGGCAGCUGACGAGUCCUUUACUGACGCUAAAGCUCGAAGGUGCGGGUAUCGAACA
RNAcentral lists this ribosomal RNA (419 nucleotides) under uncultured bacterium. RNAcentral's name for it is "bacterial SSU rRNA". It matches the Rfam family "Bacterial small subunit ribosomal RNA", at positions 358 to 774 of the family's 1533-position model. The record is from RNAcentral.